Molecule: ribosomal RNA, 292 nt
Filed under: uncultured bacterium
Lineage: Bacteria
Also listed under: 2 other names
Description: partial 16S ribosomal RNA
Source: RNAcentral
GGACUACUCGGGUAUCUAAUCCCGUUCGCUCCCCUAGCUUUCGCGCCUCAGCGUCAGAUGAGAUCCAGCAUGCCGCUUUCGCCACCGGCGUUCCUUCCGAUAUCAACGCAUUUCACCGCUCCACCGGAAGUUCCACAUGCCCCUACCUCCCUCAAGCCUGCCAGUAUCAAAAGCACUUUUCCGGUUGAGCCGAAAGAUUUCACCCCUGACUUGGCAGACCGCCUACGCGCCCUUUAAGCCCAGUGAUUCCGAACAACGUUCGCACGGUUCGUCUUACCGCGGCUGCUGGCAC